UGGUUGAGCCUGCCAGAGGCUACCGCUAUUGGAGUUCGAUUAAGCCAUGCGAGUCGCGAGAAAUUAGAUUCUCGGCGUACCGCUCAGUAACACGUGGGCAACCUGCCCUAUGCUGGAUAAUAACCUCGGGAAGCUGAGAAUAAUGAUCCAUAGUUCACUACGCCUGGAACGGUGAGUGGAUGAAAGCUCCGGCGGCAUAGGAUGGGCCUGCGGCGUAUCAGGUUGUAGGGGGUGUAACGUACCCUCUAGCCCUCUACGCGUACGGGUGUUGGGAGACAUAGCCCGGAGAUGGAUUCUGAGACACGAAUCCAGACCCUACGGGGUGCAGCAGGCGCGAAAACUUGGCAAUGCGAGAAAUCGUGACCAGGGAACUCCAAGUGCAUCGGGUAAGACCGGUGCUUUUCUUGACUCUAAAUAGGUCUUGGAAUAAGGGGUGGGUAAAGGACGGUGCCAGCCGCCGCGGUAAUACCGGCGCCUCAAGUGGUAGUCGCUUUUAUUGGGCCUAAAACGUCCGUAGCCGGUCUGAUACAUUCGUGGGUAA
This 541-nucleotide ribosomal RNA is filed under the name uncultured Candidatus Poseidoniales archaeon. RNAcentral describes it as "bacterial SSU rRNA". It matches the Rfam family "Archaeal small subunit ribosomal RNA", at positions 5 to 548 of the family's 1478-position model. The record is from RNAcentral. Lineage: Archaea; Methanobacteriati; Thermoplasmatota; Candidatus Poseidoniia; Candidatus Poseidoniales.